Molecule: unclassified non-coding RNA, 3181 nt
Filed under: Leishmania donovani
Lineage: Eukaryota; Euglenozoa; Kinetoplastea; Trypanosomatida; Trypanosomatidae
Description: gene:LdHU3.16.0910(CDS-product:transaldolase_puta tive)
Source: RNAcentral
CCCCACACUCCCAUUCAUCCACACGCCGCCCAAUAAAACUCCUAUAUAUUCGUCCCCCCUCCUCCGCAGCGAAGUACACACACACACACACACACACACGCCGACACGCACGCAAACGCAUCUGCGCAGCAACAGGGGCACAAAAAGGGUCACCAUGCCGAACCGACUCGAGCAACUCCGCGAGAUGACAACUGUCGUCGCCGAUACGGCGAACUUCAGUCUCAUGGAGAAGUUCCGGCCGGAGGAUGCGACGACGAACCCAUCACUUGUGCUGGCCGGAUCACAGAUGACCGAAUACGCGAACCUCUUGACGGAGGCUAUCGAUUACGCCAGGGCAAACAUCAGCAGGCACAGUGAUCACUACACAAGCGAUGACAACGACGAGAACCUGGUGGCCCUCGCGCUUGAUAAGCUGACGGUCAGCUUCGGCAUCCAGAUAUUGAAGGUCGUGCCGGGCCGCGUGAGCACCGAGGUGGACGCGAAGCUGUCCUUCAAUGAGCAAAAGAUGAUCGACAAGGCGCGCCUUCUUAUUCGGAUGUACGAGGAGGCUGGCAUCAGCCGCAACCGCAUCUACAUCAAGCUGGCCUCCACCUGGGAGGGCAUCCAGGCCGCUCGUACGCUGGAGAAGGAGGGCAUCUGCUGCAACCUGACGCUGCUCUUCUCGUUCGCUCAGGCGGUCGCGUGCGCACAGGCGAACGUCUCCCUCAUCUCGCCUUUCGUCGGCCGCAUCCUUGAUUGGUACAGGAAGGCGGAGCCGGCCAAGGCGGACUGCUUCGUCGGCGCGGCCGACCCCGGUGUUGUCUCCGUCACUAAGAUCUACAACUACUACAAGAAGCACGGCUACAAGACCAUCGUUAUGGGCGCCUCCUUCCGCAACGUUGAGGAGAUCUUGGAGCUGGCCGGCUGCGACAAGCUCACCAUCUCCCCCUCGCUACUGGAGGAGCUGGCAGCCAGUGAAGGCAACGUCGUCCGCAAGCUCCACCCCGACAAGGUGACGGAGGUGGAGAAACUGCCAGAGCUGUCGAGAGAGGACUUCCUCUUCAUGCACAAUGAAGACCCGAUGGCUGUCGAGAAGCUCUCCGAGGGCAUCCGCAACUUCCACAAGGACACAGUGAAGCUGACGAACGCCAUCCGUGAGAAGCUGUAAAUGAACCAAGCGCGUGGGCUCGUAUGUGCCAGUGGUGGCGGGGUGCGGCUGGAGAGAGGGAAGGGGUGUAGUUCGCGAUCGGCCAGGUUCACGUGACUUGCAACCGCUCUUGCGCUACCCCUUCUCCCUCUACCUUCCCCCGUCGGACGUUGCACAACACGGCGCCCACGCAGCCUUUCCUGCUUCUCUCCCCCUUCGCGGAGGGAGGUGGUGAUGAGGGGGAGAGGGGAUAGACGGCGCUGCACCAUCAGCACGUACUCGCGUUUCUCAACAGUCCGCCACGACACCGUGCGUCUACACCUCGCGUAGGGCGUCGACGAGUUGCUAUGCUGCUCUACAGCACACGCACGCGGACACGCAUAGGUGAGAGAGAGACACACAAUCGGAUGGCCGAUACGGCCCGCAGUCGCACACAGUACCGCGCAGAUCGAGCACAGCGGUGCAGGCUGGAGGCACGCGUGCAUGCGGCUGUGAUGCCACGCUGGCGAGCAUCCUCAAACACACGCACCUACACCGAGGGCGGGAGAGAGAGGAGAGGCAUUGCACCAUUCAAAAUGUUUGUGAGCAAGCGACUUGUCUUCUUGCUUUCGUUUUUCACCGCGAUGUUCUCCCCUGGUGAUGAGGAGGAGAGGCACACCCCUCUCAGCGCGCGGUAUCUCAGGGCCCAGUGCCCCCUCAACUCUGUGUGUGGGAGGAGGCCCAGCAGCAGCCCCCACCCCUAUUCCUGCCAAACGCCGAACCACCUCCGGCGGUGACAGGCUCGGGCACCUGCGACAUGGCGAGGUCAGAGCGACGUAUCGCUACAGAUGUCGGCGGUCAGGUCCUGGCCUGCGUGGCGUCGGAGCAGCCUGCGAGACGGCUGUUGGUGGGUAGAGCUUGAGUCGCGAGGGCCGUGCUCCCUGAUGACCGAGUCGGCGCGCUGCUGUGCCGCGUGUGCCCAAGGCUGCUUCGCAUCCCGCGAUGGGGCCCGUGGCAGGAGGGGCCGGGGGCAGUGUGGCGUUGAGCGCGUGCUGUGCGGCAGAGGGGGUGGGUGGGGCAUGGCCCCACGCUGCAGAAAGGGAAACAUUGUAUCCGUUGUUUUCGUGGGCAUAGUCGUGGCCGCUACAGCGUCGUAUUCCUCGCCGUGUGCGUGUGCGAGCGAUCGAAAGGAUCCGGUGUGACGUAGGUGCGUUGCCGUGUCCUUGCCGUCUCUACCACCGCCUGCGCCUCGCUGAUCCUGCUCUCCCUAUGACCAUCUCAGGACGUAGAUGUUGUCUGCUGCCCUCCUUCCAGCUUCUUACUCGUCUUGCUCCAAGGCAGACCGAUGCUUUCUUUCGACUUUUUUUCUGUUGCUCAGUAUAUGAACAGUGGGGGCGGGUGGGGGCAGCGUUGCUGGGCACGACAGGCAUGCUGGCGCAAAAGAAAAGGGCUUGAGGCGGGGGAGGGGGCAUACCGCUGAGCGCCGCCACGUCUGCGUGUGCGUGUGUGCGCGGGUACACACACCACUCGCCUCAACCCCUCCUCCCAUCCCAUACAUUCUCUAUUAUGCAUAGUUGGUUCUCGUUGGCUUCACUGUCCCUUCGCCAUCUGCGCAUGUGCGGCGGACGGAGGGGGGAGGAGGGCAGUGAGCCCUUUUUUUUUCAUCUGGUGAUCACACGCUAUAUAUACAUCUUCAGGCGCCCGCCCGCCCGCCCGCACGCUGAAAGUACUCAUCUUUCUUUUCUCCUCGCUCUCCCGCGUGCUCGGUCGAUGGGCCGGCCGGCAGAUACAUCACCACUGCCACACGAGGAAGGGAAAUGAUAGGCGCGAGAGCAUGAAAACCGGCAUGCAAGCUCGGAGGAGAGGAGGGAGGGAGGGAGGGAGGGGGUACUGAUGAUGGUGGCGCGAGGGGGACAAGGUGAGGGUGCCGAGUGCAGCAACGGAGGAACACGCAUGAAAAAUGUCCACUUCCCCUCCUCCUCCCUCCUUAAAGAGGUGGAGAUGUCUGGGCGCUGGGGCGAGCGCGCACUGAGCGCACAGGGCAACAGAAGAUAACAACGGUGCGCACAUCGAGAG